Molecule: transfer RNA, 83 nt
Filed under: Candidatus Woesearchaeota archaeon
Lineage: Archaea; Nanobdellati; Candidatus Woesearchaeota
Also listed under: 1 other name
Description: tRNA-Ser
Rfam family: tRNA
About the family: Transfer RNA (tRNA) molecules are approximately 80 nucleotides in length.
Source: RNAcentral
GCCGGCGUCGCCUAACCCGGUAUGGCGCGAGCCUUGAGAGCUCGUCCCGCAAGGGAUUGCAGGUUCAAAUCCUGCCGCCGGCG